Molecule: ribosomal RNA, 689 nt
Filed under: uncultured bacterium
Lineage: Bacteria
Description: bacterial SSU rRNA
Rfam family: Bacterial small subunit ribosomal RNA
Source: RNAcentral
GGAUAACAUACCGAAAGGUAUGCUAAUACGGGAUAAUAUAUUUGAGAGGCAUCUCUUAAAUAUCAAAGGUGAGCCAGUACAGGAUGGACCCGCGUCUGAUUAGCUAGUUGGUAAGGUAACGGCUUACCAAGGCGACGAUCAGUAGCCGACCUGAGAGGGUGAUCGGCCACAUUGGAACUGAGACACGGUCCAAACUCCUACGGGAGGCAGCAGUGGGGAAUAUUGCACAAUGGGCGAAAGCCUGAUGCAGCAACGCCGCGUGAGUGAUGAAGGCCUUCGGGUCGUAAAACUCUGUCCUCAAGGAAGAUAAUGACGGUACUUGAGGAGGAAGCCCCGGCUAACUACGUGCCAGCAGCCGCGGUAAUACGUAGGGGGCUAGCGUUAUCCGGAUUUACUGGGCGUAAAGGGUGCGUAGGCGGUCUUUCAAGUCAGGAGUGAAAGGCUACGGCUCAACCGUAGUAAGCUCUUGAAACUGGGAGACUUGAGUGCAGGAGAGGAGAGUGGAAUUCCUAGUGUAGCGGUGAAAUGCGUAGAUAUUAGGAGGAACACCAGUUGCGAAGGCGGCUCUCUGGACUGUAACUGACGCUGAGGCACGAAAGCGUGGGGAGCAAACAGGAUUAGAUACCCUGGUAGUCCACGCUGUAAACGAUGAAUAGUAGGUGUCGGGGGUUACCCCCUUCGGUGCCGCA